RNAcentral lists this transfer RNA (68 nucleotides) under Naviculales sp. RCC2677. It matches the Rfam family "tRNA". Rfam says of the family: Transfer RNA (tRNA) molecules are approximately 80 nucleotides in length. Their secondary structure includes four short double-helical elements and three loops (D, anti-codon, and T loops). The record is from RNAcentral. Lineage: Eukaryota; Bacillariophyta; Bacillariophyceae; Naviculales.
AUCAGUAGCUCAGUCUGGAAGAGCAAUGGCCUCCAAACCCAUGUGUCGCUGGUUCAAAUCCGGCCUGA